GCUCGAGUUUGUUCACUCAUGUUUUGCUUUUGGCUGGCGCGCCACUGAGAGAUUAUGGUGGCGUUUGGUUUGAGGGCGGCGAGAGAUUGGUUAAGGAUAUCCGUAACCACGUGUUUGGGGAUAACUGAUUUUUCUGUUUGGUUGUAAGGAUGGGAGGUGGAAGGAUAGCCAGGAUUAUUUGUUUGGUUGCAUGGAUAAGAUGUGGAUGGAUUGUCUAUAAUUGGGCAAAUAUACAUCAAGAAAAUAAACUACAUACACACAUGUGUACAUCAAUUAUACCACACAUACAUCAAUUAUACCACACACAUAUGCACGGAUUUGAGACAGAAAUAUCAAAGUCACUCACAUGUGUGAAUCUACACACAUAUCAGUUUAGCACGUGCGAGGUUGCAAAGCGUGAAGAUCCAACACAUCAACACAUCAAUCUCCAGAACAUGCAUCCUUACAGAAAAUCCUGGAUUAGCACUGCCGCAUCAAACUCCAGAACAUGCAGCCGAAUUAGCACGGCCGACGGCCAUCAUCUCUCACGCGAAUUAGCACUGCUGCUCGUCGUUCCCAGCGACCGCACUUCACCAUCUCCAUGCCGCCCUUGCUCACGUGGGCAGAGCCGUCGAGCUUCAGCAUAGACAUAGGAGAUCAGAGGAAGGGGAAGGGAGAGCGUCGCCACCACUUUCGCCCUUGAUGCGCCGCCGCCAUCGCACAUGACCUGCCCCGCAGUACGAGGUCAAGGAUUGAGAUGAUAUGGGGAAAAUAGACCGGGAGCGAGUGAAAGACAUAGGCAGAGAAUGAUUCGGCUACGCGCGCGUCGGGUGGCUGAGUAUAUCCGCCAGAUUUUCGCGGAUGUGUUCAGCCAGGUUUUGGAAGCAUAUUCUAGGAAUCUUGACUGCCCAUAUCCACGCUUGUGUUUCAACCAAACGACUGGCAGCCGCUUUUCAAGUGGCUAUCCCUAACCAGCCGUGGGAUACCUACCAAACCAAAUGCCA
This 983-nucleotide ribosomal RNA is filed under the name Triticum aestivum (bread wheat). RNAcentral describes it as "partial small subunit ribosomal RNA". Lineage: Eukaryota; Viridiplantae; Streptophyta; Magnoliopsida; Poales; Poaceae. The record is from RNAcentral.